This 467-nucleotide ribosomal RNA is filed under the name uncultured bacterium. Its description in RNAcentral is "partial 16S ribosomal RNA". It matches the Rfam family "Bacterial small subunit ribosomal RNA", at positions 28 to 507 of the family's 1533-position model. The record is from RNAcentral.
GACGAACGCUGGCGGCGUGCUUAACACAUGCCAGUCUAACGGAAAGGCCUUGCUUUUGUGGGUUGCUCGAGUGGCGAACGGGUGAGUAACACGUGAGUAACCUGCCCUUUACUUUGGGAUAACUUCAGGCAACUGGGGCUAAUACCGGAUAGGAGCUCCUGCUGCAUGGUGGGUGUUGGAAAGUUUCGGCGGUUGGGGAUGGACUCGCGUCUUAUCAGCUUGUUGGUGGGGUAGUGGCUUACCAAGGCUUUGACGGGUAGCCGGCCUGAGAGGGUGACCGGCCAAAUUGGGAAUGAGAUAAGGCCCAGAAUCCUACGGGAGGGAGGAGGGGGAAUAUUGAACAAUGGGCGGAAGACUGAUGCAGCAACGCCGCGUGCGGGAUGACGGCCUUCGGGUUGUAAACCGCUUUCGCCUGUGACGAAGAGUGAGUGACGGUAAUGGGUAAAGAAGCACCGGCUAAAUACGUG